UACGUAGGGGGCAAGCGUUGUCCGGAAUCAUUGGGCGUAAAGAGCGCGUAGGCGGUCCGAUAAGUCGGCUGUGAAAGUCCGGGGCUCAACCCUUGAAAGCCGGCCGAUACUGUCGGACUAGAGUUCGGAAGAGGCGAGUGGAAUUCCCGGUGUAGCGGUGAAAUGCGCAGAUAUCGGGAGGAACACCAAUGGCGAAGGCAGCCCGCUGGGACGUGACUGACGCUGAGGCGCGAAAGCGUGGGGAGCAAACAGG
RNAcentral lists this ribosomal RNA (253 nucleotides) under uncultured bacterium. RNAcentral's name for it is "partial 16S ribosomal RNA". It matches the Rfam family "Bacterial small subunit ribosomal RNA", at positions 524 to 776 of the family's 1533-position model. The record is from RNAcentral.